CCCCCACCGUCUUUUCCUUCCCCAAACCUAAUACCUAAUUGCUUCAGGAAACAAAGAACAGAAGAAAGAAAGAAAGAAAGAAGGAAAGAAAGAAAGGGAUGGCGGAGAGGAUCAGAGUGUGGGUCACACGAGAAGAGGAGAAGGAGUGCGUCACGGUGCUCAUGCCGCCGCGCUCCUUGCCGCCGCCGUCGUGUCACCGUAGGAGGGAGGCAGAGAGAGAGUGAUGACGAAGGGAGAGGAGGACGCGAGCAAGGGCAGAAGAGAGGAGAUCGCGUUUGCUCACCGCCAAGCCGCUGCCAUCCAAGGUCUGCGCCAACACCGUCAUCGUCGUCCGAGGAGCGCCGCUGACCUGUCACCGCCAUGGCUGGGUUGUUGUGAGCGUUGGGCCCAGACGAGAAAGAAGAAACGCGGGCCUGAAAUCCUGACGAGUUGGGGAGGAUUAGCACCACCGCUGUGCCGUUCGUGGACUCCAUCACCGCUGUUGAAGGCUCCAAUCGUCCAACUUGCCGCUGUCGUUGCCUUCGCCGUCUUUCCUCCACCGUUGCAGAAGAUCCAUCACCAAAGCUGCUGGGCUCACCGACCGUAACUGAAGCCUCUGUCUUUUGAGGUUUUGGUUGUUGCAAGUUAUUCAAUUGUACGCCGUCAUCGAAAUUGGGCUAGAUUUAUCGGUAACUGCUUCUUCCUUUCCUGAAUCUAUUUCAUUUCUAUUUUGCUCCGCUGUUCUAAUUUUGUUGGUAUCCCUGCUGCCUUACCGAUUGGAGUGGUGUUACUGCCAUUAGGACAGAUGCACAUGUCUUUGAUUUCUGUUCCUCUGCCGUGGGGUGCCGACACCGGAGCCGCUCCUAAUGACUCUGUCAUUGUAAUUGCAAUUUAUAUUAACACGGCUGUUGUAAGAGGCGUCGGGGCUGUUGCUGUUCUCGUGGGGGUUAUAGUUGUCACUGUCACUAUGAAUUAAAAGGAAAGGAAUUAUCACGAUAAAUUACGCGGACUCAGCUAACUGAGGAAAUAAAGAACAGAAGAAAGAAAGAAAGAAAGAAGGAAAGAAAGAAAGGGAUGGCGGAGAGGAUCGGAGCGUGGGUCACACGAGAAGAGGAGAAGGAGUGCGUCACGGUGCUCAUGCCGCCGCGCUCCUUGCCGCCGCCGUCGUGUCACCGUAGGAGGGAGGCAGAGAGAGAGUGACGACGAAGGGAGAGGAGGACGCGAGCAAGGGCAGAAGAGAGGAGAUCGCGUUUGCUCACCGCCAAGCCGCUGCCAUCCAAGGUUCGCGCUAACACCGUCAUCGCCGUCCGAGGAGCGCCGCUGACCUGUCACUGCCAUGGCUGAGUUGUUGUGAGCGUUGGGCCCAGACGAGAAAGAAGAAACGCGGGCCUGAAACCCCGACGAGCUGGGGAGGAUUAGCACCACCGCUGUGCCGUUCGUGGACUCCAUCACCGCUGUUGAAGGCUCCAAUCGUCCAACUUGCCGCUGUCGUUGCCUCGCCGUCUUUCCUCCACCGUUGCAGAAGAUCCAUCACCAAAGCUGCUGGGCUCACCGACCGCAACUGAAGCCUCUGUCUUUUGAGGUUUUGGUUGUUGCAAGUUAUUCAACUGUACGCCGUCAUCGAAAUUGGGCUAGAUUUAUCGGUAACUGCUUCUUCCUUUCCUGAAUCUAUUUCAUUUCUAUUUUGCUCCGCUGUUCUAAUUUUGUUGGUAUCCCUGCUGCCUUACCGAUUGGAGUGGUGUUACUUCCAUUAGGACAGAUGCACAUGUCUUUGAUUUCUGUUCCUCUGCCGCGGGGUGCCGACACCGGAGCCGCUCCUAAUGACUCUGGUCGGAUAUCUUUUUUAAUUCUAGGCCAUUUACAUGUUUUCCUAUUUUUGCCAUGCUUGUUCUGAUUCGAUUUUUUAUUCAUGUCCUUGUCUUGGGUUUCUUGAAAUUGUUUCAUUCACUGUAAUUGCAAUUUAUAUUAACACGGCUGUUGUAAGAGGCGUCGGGGCUGUUGCUGUUCUCGUGGGGGUUAUAGUUGUCACUGUCACUAUGAAUUAAAAGGAAAGGAAUUAUCACGAUAAAUUACGCGGACUUAGCUAACUGAGCUUUACCUUUUCAGGAACCAGAUGAAGAAGCAUUAAGAAGAGUUAUACUGCGUUUGGUU
Arachis ipaensis is the source of this 2130-nucleotide non-coding RNA. NCBI's taxonomy places the organism in Eukaryota, Viridiplantae, Streptophyta, Magnoliopsida, Fabales, Fabaceae. The record is from RefSeq and is a predicted model, not a curated record.